CCCACACAGCAGGCUCUGCAGUGAAUUACUCUUUCUCUAUUGUAAUUCCCCUGUCUUGAUAUAUCAGCUGUGUCUAGGCAGCGGGCAAGGUGAACCCAUUGGGCAGUUACGCAGCUGCUGGAUGAACAAAUAAAUGUGUGGAAAAUGAAGAAAAACCGAGAGUCAAAGCUUACAGACUCUGCGAUGUGUCCUGGAUGCAAAGGCCACCUCCUGGAGUUUUUGCUACCUUUGCUUUUCAGCUGAAAGUAUUUUGGGAAGUCGAAGCUUGGAGAGAUUCUGUGAAUUGGUGAAGGACACAGAGCAAAGCCAGGAUUCAGAUUCAGACCUGCUUGACUCCAAGAUCAUUCCAGAAAUCUCCCUUUUCCUUUGGACCCUGUGACGUGACAGCUGGGUUCUUUCUGCUCUGAUUUCCAUGCCUGACAACCAUUUAAAUGGAAUACAAGAAUGCAGGUGCUGAUUCUUCUGAGCAAUUUUCAGAGGCCUCCUUUGCCUGCUUUCACCCAAGGGAAAUUUCUGGCCCUCAGACCACGCGUACUUGGCUCUCUGACAGUGUACCUGCACCCACCACCCUCAUGUUUUCUUAGGUUGAAAGAAAUUCACCCUUUAUCAAGAAUUAUUUAUAGUUCCUCUGGAGUGAGAGAGGAAGACAUUACCCACGCAGUGCUCUGUGGAAUCAUCUGAGCCACCACUUCUGCCUUGGGGACAUCAUCUGGGGAAGUAUCUAGAUCCUUUGGCUGAACAACGUGUUUUGAGGUCUUUAAUAUGUCACCUUAAGGAUGAGGCCUAGAGAACAUGGCCUUUUGUUGAACAGUUUGUAAGCUCUCAAAUGUGAGUAAAUGUGAGGAGGGUCUUGAGAGAUAUAGGAAGCUCAAGAAACCUAGCUAGAGUCUCUAGACUGUUGAGAAAAGUGGUGAGAAGAAAUUCCCAUUGUGGGGGAUGGGAGUGGUGGUUCAGGAGGAUUUUUGAGAAUGGGGAUAGAGAGCCUAGAAAUAAGGCCACACACCCAUGGCCAUCUGAUCUUCGACAAAGCAAGCAAUGAGUAAUGGACUCCUUGUUCAAUAAAUGGUGCCGGGUUGACUGAUUAGCCAUAUGCAGAAGAUUGAAACUGGACUCCUUCCUCACACCAUAUACAGAAAUCAACUCAAGAUGGAUUAAAGACUUAAAUGUAAAACCCAGAACUAUAAAAACUCUGGAAGACAACCUAGGCAAUACCACCCUGGAUAUAGGAACGGGCAAAGAUUUCAUGAUGAAGACACUAAAAGCAAUUGCAGCAAAAGCAAAAAUUGACAAAUGUGAUCUGAUUAAACCUAAGAGCUUCUGCACAGCAAAAGAAAUUAUCAACAGAGUAAACAGAGUAAACAACCUAUAGAAUAGGAGAAAAUAUUUGCAGACUAAGUAUCCAACAAAGGUCUCAUAUCCAGCAUCUAUAAGGAACUUAAACAAAUUUAUAAGAAAUAACUAACAAUUCCAACAAAAAGUGGGCAAAGUAUAUGAACAGACACUUUGCUAAAGUAGACAUAUAUGUGGCCAACAAGCAAAUGAAAAAAAGCUCAAUAUCAUGAUCAUUAGAGAAAUGCAAAUCAAAGCCACAAUAAGAUAUAUCAUCUCACACCAGUCAGAAUGGCUAUUAUUAAAAAGUCAAAAAAUAACCGAUGGCUGGUAAAGUUGCAGAGAAAAGGAAAUACUUAUACACUGUUAGUUGGAGUUUAAAUUAGUUCAACCAUUAUGGAAAGCAGUGUGGUGAUUCCUCAAAGAGCUAAAAACAGGACUACCAUUUGACCCAGCAAACCUAUUACUGGGUAUAUGCCCAGAGGAAUAGAAAUCAUUCUACCAUAAAAACAUGUGCAACAAAUGUUCAUUGUAGCACUAUCCAAAAUAGCAAAGACAUGGAAUCAACCUAAAUGUCCAUCAAUGACAGAUUGGAUAAAAAAUGUAGUACAUAGGUCCCAUGGAAUACUAUGCAACCAUAAGAAAGAACAAGAUCAUGUCUUUUGCAGGAACAUGAUGGAGCUGGAGGCCAUUAUCCUUAGCAAACUAAUGCAGAAACAGAAAACUAAAUAGUGCAUGCUCUUACUCAUAAGAGGGAGCUAAAUGAGGAGACAUCAUGAAUACAAAGAGGGGAACAACAGACACUGGGACCUCUUUGAGGGUGGAGGGUAGGAGGAGGGAGAGGAGCAGAAAAACAUUAAUCUUGUUGUACAGAUUAUUUUGUCACCCAGGUACUAAAUGUGGUACUAUUGGGUACCCUACCACUGUUUUAUCAAACAAGUUUCUGUAAUAGUAUAAAUCCUUUGUUGUCAUUACAACAAUGUUCAUGGCAUCUUCACCAGGAGUAAAUCUCAUCUCAAGAAACCACUUUUUUUGCUUAUCCAUAAGAAGCAACUCCUCAUCUAUUCAAAUUUGAUCAUGAGAUUGCAGCAAUCUGGUCACAUCUUCAGGUUCACUCUAAUUCAAGUUCUCUUGCUGUUUCUACCACAUCCACAGUUACUUCCUUCACUGAAAUUUUGAACCUGUCAAAAUUUGGUACCUUACUGUUGUGUACCAGGUUUAGUACCUGGGUGACAAAAUAAUCUGUACAACAGACCCCCCGUGAUACCAGUUAACCUAGGUAACAAACCUGCACAUGUACUCCUGAACCUGAAAU
RNAcentral lists this long non-coding RNA (2644 nucleotides) under Homo sapiens (human). RNAcentral describes it as "LHRI_LNC239.2". Lineage: Eukaryota; Metazoa; Chordata; Mammalia; Primates; Hominidae. The record is from RNAcentral.